AUUCGAACAUGCCCUUCUUUAUGAAGCAUCCCUUGAGGGCCUGAGGAUUGGACCUUGUUCCUAGGCUUUCCCAGGGGCCUUUUACAAUUGGGUUGCAGGGGGCUGGGCAUAGUGUUCACACAGUUGUGAAGUUGUGAUCCCAGUUACUCUGGAGGCUGAGGCAGGAGGAUCACAAAUUCAAACGCUGCCUGGACCACAGAGUAAGUCCAAGGCCAGGGUAGGCAGCUUAGCUGAGAUAGUUUACUGAAAAAGUAUAUGUUGGUGGUAUGUAGUGUGUGUGUGUGUGUGUGUGUUUGUGUGUGUAUUGGUGGUAUGUAUAUGUAUAUUGGUGUUGUGUGGUAUGUGUGUGGUGUGUGUGUGUAUUGGUGGUGUGUAUAUGUGUACAUGUGUGUGUUGGUGUUGUGUGGUAUGUGUGUGUUCGUAUUGUAAGUAUGUGUGCUGGUGUUGUGUGUGUUGGUGUUGUGUGUGUUGACGUUGUGUGUGUUGGUAGUGUGGGGGUGAGGUUGUGUGUGUUGGUAUGUGUAUGUUGGUGUUGUGAGUGUGUGUGUUGGUAUGUGUAUAUGUUGGUGGUGGGUGGGUGUGUGUGUGCGCACGCGCGCGCGAAUGUAGCAGGUGUGUAUCUCAGUGGUAGAGCAUUUGCAUAGCACGCACGAGGCCUUGGGAUACAUUCUCAGUACAGAAAAAAAAAGCCAGGUGUGGUUGCAGCUGUUUCCCUACUGCUGGAAGGAAAAGAGGCCGUAGCUCACCUUCUCUACUGAGGGAGGCGACCACUGUGCAGGCAGCUGGGAAGACUCUGAAUGAGGGAGGUCCCAGUCUGAUUCCCAGCACCCACCUGGCAGCUCACGACUGUCUGCAUGUCCGGAUCUGUGGAUACUGUGAGUACACGGCACACAGAUGUACAAGUAGGCAACACAUCAACAUACAUAAACAUAAAUGAAUGAAUAAACAAUCCAGUGAAAGACUUGCCUAUGGAAUGUUCCCUCAGCCUUCUGGGAAGUGCUGUAUUUCUUGGCUACUAUCUCCAGGAUAGAUUCCGGUGGCGCAGAGGCAGCGGAAGAGCAGAAUGGUCUGUCUGCCUUGGAAGUACCCGGCACCCCGAGUCUUUGGCCUCUGGCCAAGAACUAGGAAGAAAAGAAGAAACCAGGUAUUGACAGAUGGAGGGAAGGCUGGGACUGCUGAAAGACAGAGGAGAGGGGAAUGCCUGUUGGCGGCCAUUGGAGACAAGGAAAGAGAGACUCUGGGAGAUUAAGCAACUAGCCCAGGCUUACUCAGCCGGUAUAUGUGGGAGGCCUGACAACCCAUCCUGUGUUUCCAGUUCAUAAGCCAACACCCCAGCCACUGGGGUGACUGUUCCUGGUACUGGAGGAUGUGAGCCCUCAGCUACUGCUCUGAGUCAUGCCCCAGGCCUGCUACCAUGCUCUCCGCCAUGAUGGAUGCCAACCCUUUGAAAUGGCCUUGUGUAAUCGACCUGGCAAACCGCCUGCCACGCUCUGCAAACCCAACCUCCCACAUGAGGGCUGAACUUCUUGGAACCCUUAAAAAAUACCAGUGAACUUCAGGAAGUAACACACGGACGCACGCAACUCUCUUCCAGAAAGAGGUCAAUGGUCCCAGAGUCGGAGGAAACACCACCAUGACCCCAGGACUUCCUGCCCACACACUCGGCAUCAUCCCAAAGUUCAAAAAGUUCGAAUGGCUCACUAACUGACAUCCGGCCGACAGAUGGGGAGUGCGAUGGGGAGUGUGCCUCAGUGGUAGAGUGCUUGCCUACCUCGGGAGAGGCCCUGGCUUCUGUCUCUAACCCUGCAAAGAAAAAAAAUUAAUCAAAUGAAACAAAAAUAAAGCAGGCUUUGAAAAAAAAAGAAAAAGAAAUUACUUUUCCUGGGGUCUGGUUCUGUCCUCCUUUCCCUCCCCGCCCCCAUGACUGAAAGGCAAAAAAUGUCAAUGCAACUGGUCAAACCAAGAUCGCCUGCAGAGAUAACGCAUGUUUUCCUAAAGCUAUCCAAGAGGAACUGUAAACGGCAAACAACUGUGCAGAUGUGCUUACUGGAGACCAGGAUGUCUCUUACCUAUUAGCAUUCCUCUCUUACACCCCCACACCCCCAUCUAAACAGUUUCACCUCAUAAAACCAGUUUCUUUAUUAUUUGGUUAAAAAAGAAACAAAACAAAAAAAACAAAACAAAGGAGCUGGAGAGAUGGCUCAGCAGUUAAGAGCACUGACUGCUCUUCCAAAGGUCCUGAGUUCAAAUCCCAGCAACCACAUGGUAGCUCACAACCAUCCAUAAUGAAAUCUGAAGCUCUCUUCUAGAGUGUCUGAAGACAGCUACAG
This is a long non-coding RNA of Apodemus sylvaticus (European woodmouse), 2330 nucleotides long. RefSeq lists it as uncharacterized. Lineage: Eukaryota; Metazoa; Chordata; Mammalia; Rodentia; Muridae. The record is from RefSeq and is a predicted model, not a curated record. The transcript is spliced from 5 exons.